Molecule: long non-coding RNA, 924 nt
Organism: Macadamia integrifolia
Lineage: Eukaryota; Viridiplantae; Streptophyta; Magnoliopsida; Proteales; Proteaceae
Exons: 2
Source: RefSeq, a predicted model, not a curated record
ACCGCUAAACACCCUUACUUGCACUUGCGGAUAGUUUUCUUUAUUCUUUAUUUUUUCUAAGAAGAGAGUAACCUGACAAUUUGAUGUGGGCAACACCAACAUGCAAGGCAAAUGGAAUGAUGCAUUAGAGCAUCUUCAACACAUUGGGUGGAGAGGCAAGUUUCGUGUCUACCUGUGUCUAAGUGUAGCGAAUUAUGGAAUACCAAAGUGAUAGGAUUCUUUCGUCUUUUUUUUUAUAUUUUACUUUCUUUUUUGGUAAAAGGUCGCAGCGCUCAAGCGCUGAGAAUAUAUAAAAGCUACAUCAUUUUCAGCCGUUGGUCUUUUGUAAAUGCCUAAAUCUACUCUAUAGCUGGUGAUCUCUCUCCCUUCGGCGUCGCUUCAUACCCAGCCCCAUCCUACCCUCGCCCCUCCACCGCAAACCUGGCAGCCCAUGUCUACGAAGAAGAAGGAGCGCUUCCGCACCAUUACAGAUGUGGUGGUGGGUGAAGGUGUUGAACAGGUGAAGUGUGAUUUCACCAGUAACAAGCUGACAGUGAUCGGGAAAGCAGACCCAAUGAAGCUUCGGAAGAGGGUAGAGCAGAAGACGAAGAAGAAGGUUGAACUCAUCUUCCCUUUGCACAUGGUAUGGAGGGAUAGGAUUUCUAGGAAAUAGAUCAACGGUUCAUAUUGAUUGAAGUGCUGUUAAUUUCUUAGCGCUUAAGCACUGCUACCACUCACGGAUUCGGCUCGUCUAUAGCGCGGGGUGAGCCAUAUAUUGUCUAGCUCACCACAAAAGCGUGACACCUGGAUUUUAUUGAUCCUACGGUGUGGGUGGCUUAAUCCUUAGGGAAACAUAUAUGUUGGCGAUACACGGUAUCACUUUUUCAUAAUUACAACUUUUCAGAUCGAUGCAAGAUUUUUAAAAUAAAAAAUAGGGUUUUUCUA